This 677-nucleotide long non-coding RNA is filed under the name Homo sapiens (human). Its description in RNAcentral is "non-protein coding lnc-STRADB-2:1". Lineage: Eukaryota; Metazoa; Chordata; Mammalia; Primates; Hominidae. The record is from RNAcentral.
UUGUGGCAUACCUAUUCCAGUCAGGCUUUCAAGAUGCAGCAUCAUCUAUUAUAGAAGAACUACACUUACAAAAUCACACUGUAAUAAUCGUUUUCUUAAUUAGCUCUUUAGUCCUUUAUGUUAUUUCAUUAAUACUAACAACUAAACUAACCCACACAAAAUAGAUGCUUAAGAAGUAGAAACAGUAUGAAUUAUCUUACUCGCUAUUAUUUUAAUCCUAAUUACUUUACUGUCUUUAUGAAUCCUAUACAUGAUAGGUAAAAUGAGUAUCUCUUCCCCAACUGUAAAAACCAUAGGCUACCAAUGAUAUUUAGGUAUAAAUAUACAGACUACAAAGACCUGAAGUUUGAUUCUUAUAUAAUCCCUACAACAGACCUUAAACCAGGAGAUUUAUGACCACUAGAAGUUGAUAAUUCGAGUAGUCCUACUUAUGGAAAUGUCAAUUUUCAUAUUAAUCUCAUUCAAAGAUGUAUUACAUCCAUAAGCUGUUCCAUCAUUAGGCCUAAAAACAGAUUAAAUUCCAGGAUGUUUAAAUCAAGCAACUCUAACAUCCACAUGACCAGGCCUAUACUAUGGACAAUGCUCAGAAAUUUGUGGAUCAAAUCACAGCUUUACGCCUAUUGUACUUGAAUUAGUGCUGCAAAAACUGAUCGGCACCUAUGUCAUCGUGAAGCUAA